Long non-coding RNA from Oncorhynchus tshawytscha (Chinook salmon), 436 nucleotides. The record is from Ensembl. NCBI's taxonomy places the organism in Eukaryota, Metazoa, Chordata, Actinopteri, Salmoniformes, Salmonidae.
GGAUGGACAGACCAGGCCUCUCACACUGGGCAGACAGGGGCCCUGGGAUGGACAGACCAGGCCUCUCACACUGGGCAGACAGGGGUCCUGGGAUGGACAGAUCAGGCCUCUCUCACUGGGCAGACAGGGGUCCUGGGAUGGACAGGUCAGGCCUCUCUGACUGGGCAGACAGGAGUCCUAGGAUGGACAGAUCAGGCCUCUCACACUGGGCAGACAGGGGUCCUGGGAUGGACAGAUCAGGCCUCUCACACUGGGCAGACAGGAGUCCUAGGAUGAACAGCUCAGGCCUCUCUCACUGGGCAGACAGGGGUCCUGGGAUGGACAGACCAGGCCUCUCUCACUGGGCAGACAGGGGUCCUGGGAUGGACAGCUCAGGCCUCUCUCACUGGGCAGACAGGGGUCCUGGGAUGGACAGACCAGGCCUCUCUCACUGGGC